RNAcentral lists this unclassified non-coding RNA (277 nucleotides) under Ganoderma lucidum. RNAcentral describes it as "partial internal transcribed spacer region". The stretch from base 1 to 46 matches the Rfam family "Eukaryotic small subunit ribosomal RNA", at positions 1786 to 1831 of the family's 1831-position model. The record is from RNAcentral. Lineage: Eukaryota; Fungi; Basidiomycota; Agaricomycetes; Polyporales; Polyporaceae.
AAGUCGUAACAAGGUUUCCGUAGGUGAACCUGCGGAAGGAUCAUUAUCGAGUUUUGACUGGGUUGUAGCUGGCCUCCCGAGGCAUGUGCACGUCCUGCUCAUCCACUCUACACCUGUGCACUUACUGUGGGCUUCAGACGUCGUGAAGCGGGCUCUUUACGGAGCUUGUAGAGCGUGUCUGUGCCUGCGUUUACCACAAACUCUAUAAAGUAUUAGAAUGUGUAUUGCGAUGUAACGCAUCUAUGUACAACUUUCAGCAACGGAUCUCUUGGCUCUC